GGCCGACUGGCCCAAUUGGUUAAGGCGCCUGACUACGAAUCAGGAGAUUUGCAGGUUCGAGUCCUGCGUCGGUCA
Molecule: non-coding RNA, 75 nt
Organism: Trichophyton benhamiae CBS 112371
Lineage: Eukaryota; Fungi; Ascomycota; Eurotiomycetes; Onygenales; Arthrodermataceae
Source: Rfam